Molecule: ribosomal RNA, 293 nt
Filed under: uncultured bacterium
Lineage: Bacteria
Description: partial 16S ribosomal RNA
Rfam family: Bacterial small subunit ribosomal RNA
Source: RNAcentral
GGAUUAGAUACCCUGGUAGUCCAUGCCGUAAACGUUGGGCGCUAGGUGUGGGGUCCAUUCCACGGGUUCCGUGCCGCAGCUAACGCAUUAAGCGCCCCGCCUGGGGAGUACGGCCGCAAGGCUAAAACUCAAAGGAAUUGACGGGGGCCCGCACAAGCGGCGGAGCAUGUGGAUUAAUUCGAUGCAACGCGAAGAACCUUACCUGGGUUUGACAUGCACCAGACAGGCGUAGAGAUACGUCCUCCCUUGUGGUUGGUGUGCAGGUGGUGCAUGGCUGUCGUCAGCUCGUGCCG